This 467-nucleotide ribosomal RNA is filed under the name uncultured bacterium. Its description in RNAcentral is "bacterial SSU rRNA". It matches the Rfam family "Bacterial small subunit ribosomal RNA", at positions 30 to 496 of the family's 1533-position model. The record is from RNAcentral.
AUUGAACGCUGGCGGAAUGCUUUACACAUGCAAGUCGAACGGUAGAGGGGGGCAACCCCUUGAGAGUGGCGAACGGGUGAGUAAUAUAUCGGAACGUGCCCAGUCGUGGGGAUAACGUAGCGAAAGUUACGCUAAUACCGCAUACGAUCUAAGGAUGAAAGCGGGGGAUCGCAAGACCUCGCGCGAUUGGAGCGGCCGAUAUCAGAUUAGGUAGUUGGUGAGGUAAAGGCUCACCAAGCCAACGAUCUGUAGCUGGUCUGAGAGGACGACCAGCCACACUGGAACUGAGACACGGUCCAGACUCCUACGGGAGGCAGCAGUGGGGAAUUUUGGACAAUGGACGCAAGUCUGAUCCAGCCAUUCCGCGUGCAGGAUGAAGGCCCUCGGGUUGUAACUGCUUUUGUACGGAACGAAAGGUUUCUCUUAAUACGAGGAGCUCAUGACGGUACCGUAAGAAUAAGCACCGG